Molecule: non-coding RNA, 450 nt
Organism: Paramuricea clavata
Lineage: Eukaryota; Metazoa; Cnidaria; Anthozoa; Malacalcyonacea; Plexauridae
Source: the annotation of a GenBank genome assembly
GUUACGGCGAUCUUGUGCCACAGAGUGUCCAAGGAAAGAUUGUGGGUGCUCUAUGCUCUUUCAGCGGCAUAUUUCUUAUUGCUUUGAUGGCGCCUUUGUUGCAGAAAGGAUAACAUUUUAUACUCAUGUUUAGCUUUUGAGAAUAUACCUACCAAUAAAAGUUAACAAACUUUUAUCUGAGUGGAAACGUUCGUAUAAUUACCAUAAAACCCCUAUAAGUAAUUUUUUAUCUCGUUUUUAUCAGUGCUACAAAGGUUCUCUAAAGGCCUUUUUUAUUGGUCCAGUGUUACGUAAUAUUUAGAGUGAGGUGUAUUAAUUUAAUUUGAUCACUAAUCCAAGGACUGAAUUAAUCAAUAUACUUCACCAGGUACUGUAUCCAGUAUUAUCAUGUGAGCAAAAUAAAGCAAUACGGUUGGCUAAUUUACUCAUCAAUUAUUAAACGGGGGAGAG